This is a non-coding RNA of Xyrichtys novacula (pearly razorfish), 7957 nucleotides long. The record is from the annotation of a GenBank genome assembly. Lineage: Eukaryota; Metazoa; Chordata; Actinopteri; Labriformes; Labridae.
AGGAGCAAAAACACAAAACAUGCUUCUCUCUACAAACACGGGGAAAAGACAAAAGGUCAGACUGUGUGAUCAUAAAGCCUACCAGAAGGGUUCUCAAUGACCCCAGACAGCAAGCUUCAAGUCCUUUGUAGCUUAUUCUUACCUCCAUAGUUUUAAAGGGGGUAUUAAUGGAAUAAACACUAAAAUCUGAAUUCUUGAUAAUGUUGAGGUGUCAAAGUGUAAAAACUAUGAUGUGAAAAUGAAAGAUGCUUUACUACUCUAUUUUCAUCUGUAAAUAGGCAAACCAAUAUUCACUUCUUGGCAUUUGUUAAGAGAAUUUUUGCCUCUGGUUUUGAGCAUCAAAAAUAUCAUGGGAGGUCAGAAAUAUAUUGAAUGAGACCUUCACCCUUUUGCAAACAUGAUAAUCUAUUUUAUAGAAGAUAAACAACAUCUGAGAAUGAUGUGUACUAUCACAUCUGUGUACGUGGAAUGAAAGCUGGAUGGUUUUAUUUGUAAGUGUCAAAAUGUGCCUUUACCCAGUUCUGUGAGGUGUAAUAAAAAUGUUCGGUUGAAAUGAAAGAAGAAAAGUUUGUGUUGACAAAAACAAACUGAAUGCAAAAGCAGUUAAAAGGAUAUUCCAGUAUAAAAUUAAUUUAGGGUCAAACACACCAUAACACAGAGUUAGACACCCCCCUCAAGAGAUGAAUGUUGACGACCUCUUACCUCUCUAGUUAUACCAACUUUAGUAACGACCACACGAUAGCAAUACACAGCGGUGUGAAGAGCCAUAAACAAACCUCAACCAAAAAGCCACUCUAUAGCCACAAAUAAUGCUCAGAACAGCACCUAACUUCAUCAACAGUACAUAUAGGGUCCUAGCCACAGUACUAGCCACCAAACAUCUUUUUUAGCUUUGCCUGGUUUCUUUAGCAAAGCGACUAAACAACUCACCCACUCUCUUCCAGCAGCCCUUGUUUGUAGCGAGACCUCAGGCCAGUCCAUUACGGACUACAGCGGGGUGACGCAGCUCAAAGAAGAACAUUUAUGAUCAUUACUUCAUCAUUUCCUUGAAGUAAUAAUCAUCAUAUUAGUCAUUUUGCACUGCAGACGCGGUAGUUCUUCUGCCUUAGCGUCUCGGUCUGAUUGCAUUUCCUUACAGUGGUAAAAACAGCAGAGCUAACAAUUUAACAUGAUCACUAGUGUCAGUUUCAGGUCUUACGUUACUUCGACAUAACUCUGAGCAGCGGGUACAACAAGUUGCAGAAAUCAGGCACAACUCGUCUAUAAGUGUGUGCAAAGUCAGUAAGGAGAUGAAGCAGGAAGGUACCUUAGCAAGAUUGGGUCAUUUACAGGACAAAUAAAGCUGAGGGUCUUCAGCAUAUCGAUGAAACUAAAUGAAAUAACGUAGUGUUUGAAAAUGUCAUCUGUAAGAGAACAGGAAAAGGGAAAUGAUACUGAAAACAGGAUGUAUUCAGGUGGCUCUGUAGCAAUAUCUGUGCUGUGUUGUGACAGAAACCUAAAUUAAAUUCCUGAAAAUAUUCCCGUUCAAGACUCAAGACUAUGAUUGUUUCUCGCGUCCCCCUUACACUGCAUAACAAAUGACCCAGGGUUAAGCAUAAAGUCGGCCCAACUUCCAGACCAGUCAUGUGACUCCAAAAUGUCAGUGUAUGCUCGAUUUUAGUGACCAACCUUUUUGCUAAAAUGUCUAAAAAAAUAUCCAAAACUUAUUAUCAAAUUUCCUCCUGAGGAUAAACAAAGUUCUUCAUAUCUUGUCUUAUCAGCUUGUACUAAAAGUUAACAACAAGCGUUUAGAUGUAUGAUCGCCACCUGCUGUGCUGAGCAUGAAUACACAAGCCUGCUACCUCAGCACAUUACAUCACUUAAAAUAAGUACACAUUUUUUUUUGACACUUUUUUUCGGGCAUACAUCCACAACACACUGCAAAUAACUCUGUCAUCAAUUUUGGGGUCUUUGAGAACCACCGAUCCAAAACUUAGGGAAGGAAUUUUGUGGAUUUAGAGUCUAGAUGAUGUUGAAGAUCCAGCAUACAAUAUUUCUUACAUAUUUUUGGAUAUGAGCCUUUAAUUUUUAUUAUGUUUUAAAGAAUAUAUCUAAGUCAGAUAUGGUGGAGGGUAUUGACUCAAUCAUUAUUAUUUUUUUGUUAUUGGCAUUCAUACAUGCAAGAGAUAAAAAUGAAUCAAUAAGAUCAGGACACAAAAAUCAACCCAGUUUUAUCCAAAUUCAAGAAAAAUAUUUUAAGUGCAACCUUGUUGAUCCAGCAGAGUUUCAGAAAUUAAGUAGAGAGAGAAUUUAAUAUUGUGCCUUUUUCAGUGUGAAGACUUUUAACAACUAGGUGCUGAAUAAACAGGACUGUCAUUUAUUGAUACUACACUCACAAAAAAACCUAUUUAAGGAGCUUCUUCCAAAAACAGACAUGAAUAAGAAAUGAAAUACCAAAUUUAAGUGUUGCUCAUUAUCUGUGUUACUCAGCUGCCAUUCUGUCAGCUCAUCUGUACAAUGUUGUUUGUAAUUGUGAAAGGUUUUAUAAAUUACCAGCCUGUUUAUUAUGAUUAUAGAAGACUCUUAAAAAGGCUGCUGGGAUGUGAAGUGAAGCAAACUGUGGGAGCAAAAGGAAGAGUGACAGAUUUAUUAAGCGAGGCUGUGGGGGAAAUCUAUACUCUUCUUGUCUGUCUGAUUUUUAGGAGCUCAUGGCUCUAAGCUCAGCUCUGCAGAAAAAAGAAAACCAAAUAUAUAGCUAAUCCCACAUCACCCUCCUAAGUCUGCAGCCUGCGACCAUGUGAUCAGAUAAGAAAUGAGUGGGAGGCAGGAGGAGGACAAAGAAAAGAAGACAUGCUGAAGGAACUGUUGAGAGGGAGUAGCAUAGACAAAUCAGAGAAGCAACAGGUGAUCUCACAUUUAAUAUCACAGAGGCCGGCUCAGCUUUAAUGUACUUUAAAGUAAGCAUUCAAAAAAUGUUUGAAAUGUUACCAAACUGAAAAUAUCAUCAUAUCAAUAUGUUGUUGUUAGGCUCAAAAUAAACAUGGUCACUCUCUGGUAUUCAGGUAACAAAACAGCUGUUCAACCUGUAAUACCUUGUGCUAGCUUACUCAUAUGAUGGCCCAGAAUGUUGGGAGUCAACAGUGGUUGUCUAUUUUGUCUAUUUCUCUGUUGACGAUCUUAUUUAGGGUUUGACAACAGGUGUGGUGUGUUAGUUUGGGGAUUAGCUCCAUGGUUACAAAGCAUUUCCUUAUGUGACAGAGGUGCCAUUUAUGUCCAAUCCCAAACUCAGUACUCAUACUUGCUGACUUUGGUGCCUGCAAGUAUGUGAGUGUGUGAGGGCUCUAAUGCAGACUUCAGGAUGUCAAACUGCAUCCUGUGAGUGUUCAGAAUUGAGGACUAUACUAUGGACAACUUGGUUCCGUCUUCCGCCAGUAUACGGAUUUAAAGCCGAAAAGCUCCCGGUAUUUCCAUGUUUUUUCGCGGUGUUCUGUGUAAUAAAUUUCUUAAGUUUGUCCACAGCUCCAUAGGGAUUGCUGGAGGAGGCGGGAUUUUAUGACCUAUACUGCAGCCCGUCACCAGAGGGUGCUGUUCUCGCGGUGGCUUCACCCAGCGAGGAGGCAGAUGCUGUCCAUUCUUUAUAAAGUCUAUGUUCAAUACACCAGGGGAAAAAAAACUCUAUGUAAACAAAGCAAAUGUACAAAUAAGCAUAAAUAUACUAACAAAUAUACACUUGUUGCGCACUUGUUUAAAGACAGUGUGUGUUGUCAAACCAAUGAUAAACGCAUUUCCUGUUUAAAGACAGAGUUUGAGUUACCAAAUUCAUAACUGUAGGUUUGUUGGAGCUAGAAUCUGUAUUAGAAACUCACUCACAGAGCAGUAUCACUCACAUAAAUCCAAAGCUACAACCUGAUUAGCUUGAAACAAAGAGUGUGAAGUACUACAUGUGUCCUCAACUGACAGGACUAAGGUCAAGAUUAAGUAGGAAACGACUGAGGUAGAUAUUGUUCUUCCUACAAUGAUUUUCACAUUAAGAAUAAAGAAUAAAUUGUCAUGUUUUGCACACAUUAAGUCGAACAAAACUAUAAUUUGAGUUUCUCUCAAGGAUCACAAUUUCUUCAAGGAGUCUUGUAGACAAAGACAGACUGAUAAUCAUCUCAGCGUGAUCUGAGGAAGCAGAUGAGCACCGACUGUGCGGCCAUUUGUCUCUACAUGUGGUCAGGGUUUAUGCGGACGAUAACACGCUGUGCUAGCCUUUCACCAAAUCAAGUUUUUUUUUUUACAUGAGAUCAGAGGACCAUUAUCAUAAAAGUCCUGAUCCCUCUCUGUUCCCAGUCCUUCCAGGUUUAUUUUACACUAGCUGGUGUGACAAGAGCUCUGCAGAAACUAACUGAAAUACCACCAGAUCAUUUUAACCACUGGUGCCUGGAGUAAAUAUGUAACUAGAGGCAUUGAUUAAUACGUGUAUUAAUUACCUCAGAGGACUGGAGGCAGGGAAACACUGUAGAUGGACCUCUAGUCUGUAAGGCAACAUUUAAAAAAUCAAAGUGUUCUAGACGGAGAGAGAAAAAAUUAGACACAUUGAGCGAAGACCAUUGCUAUCACCACCAUCACACCUAAUCCCCCAAAACAGGCGGUCUGAUUCCCAUCUGUGCCUCUCACGGCUCUGUGACCAAUCAAUAUGUUUAAGCCCUCUGCCUUCGGCCCACUGUGAUUGAAUAAAUAAACCCUUAGCAAGAGGGCUGCUCAUUCUCUGCCUAAAAGUCAUGAAAUUGGCUUCGGCUGUGAGGAGGCAUGGAGGAGUUUUCUGUCUGCCAGGAACCAGCACGCUGUAAAAAUCCUCGAGUUUGUUAUAAAACUAUUAACAUAAUGAAAGACUUAGUGGAGUGUGGCAUACAGUGGAUCCAUCAUUUUUAAUGAAAUAGCUAUCAGCUGAUGCUGGGUAUGAGACAAAAGGGAGGGCAGAUGAGAUUAAAAUGAACAAUAGUCGAGGAUUGUAAAAGCAAAGCCAUGGUGUUAAUUGGUGAGAUGAUAAUUUAGUUCCUCAAAUUGCAUGAAUAUUGUUUGUACACAUAGUAAAAACUGCUUAAAUUGCAUGAAAUGGAAUAUUUGAUCAUGGUAACUCUUUACUUGAUGCCUAUCUCUAUAAUGCAUUAUAAAUAUAUGUAUAAUGCGUUAUAAUCAUGUUAUAACACUGUAUAACUAUAGUUAUAAACACUCAUAAAUAAUCAUAAUGCUUUAUAGCAAUAAUCAUAACACAUCAUAAAGCAUUUUAACAUGACUUACAAGGUCUGGUAUUAUAAUGUGUUAUGCUUAUUGUUAUAAAGCCUUAUAAUAAUUAAUGAGUGUUUAUAAUGAUAGUUAUACAAGUUUAUAAGCAAAUUAUAACACAUCAUAAAUAUAUGUAUAAUGCAUGAUCUAUGUGGGCAUUGUCAGUGAGUUGUUAUAAUACCAGAUCAUUUAUGAGUGUUUAUAACUAUAGUUAUACAGUGCUAUAAUGUGAUUAUAAUGCAUUAAAUAUAUAAUUAUAUGCGUUAUAGGGAUAGGCAUCAAAUAAAGUGUUACCAUGAUGAUUAAUAAUACUGAUUGCUAUAUGAAAUACCACUAGCCCUGAACCUGAAGUAUGAGGGUUUGCUGCUUUUUUGUUGUGUUUCCUUGUAAAUUGAUCAAUACUGAAAGAAAUUGUAAUGAUCAAAAUAGGGAUUACUACACAUAAAUCAAUGUUUUACCUGCUUCUUUAAAUCAAAGGACAAACAACAUUUCAACUGCACUCAGCACUGUCACAGAUAAGACUCUAGAAACCAGCUUCUGUAUUCCCUGUACUGAGGUAGAAUAGUGUUGGAGUUGAUAUUAAGGUGCAGGUACUCUACAUACCUUGUCAUCAGGAAUACCCAAAUGCUAUCAGCAACCAUAACCUGAGCCAGGAACUUCUUUUAGUGCUUACCCUCCUUGUGUCAGAAGCUUGUCUGAAAAUAAAAGCUACACAGCGUUAACAGAGCAGGCAAGCCAACAUCUUCUGCUCUGUAACUUUGAGAGCAAAGGGAGAUCAAUAAAGUGCAGUCCAUCCUAAUCUCUGUUCACCCAGUGAUUAUUAUCAGCUAUAAAGGCUCAAGCUGCAAACCAUCAAAGCAAAGAACUUCUACUGAAACCACAACAACAAAUACUCAGGAGAUUUAAGGCGUCCACUGAGCAACUUUGGAGUAGCUGACGCCUUAAAAAAGGUUAAAUAAAGAAGCUCAGAGGUGAUGUUGCAGUCAUUACGCAGAUGUAUAUUUGUUUUAUUGUUGUGCAGCCAAGUGAGCCAGUAUCUGAAUGCAGUUGUCGACAACCAGCACAGUUCAGCAAAGCCUACAUAAAGAGGAAGCUGCAAUCGAUAUGGGCUUUACGUCAGCAGGGGUCACAUCUGAAGACAAGGUAACAAGCUGGUAGUGAGCAACAAAAAGUUGCAUUUUCGUAGUAACUCUGAAAAUCUGGGGUUUGAGUGUGAGUAGGUCAGUACAAUCACAAGUGUUUACAAGGGAGGGAGCAGCAAUAGCGCUUGGCCUUAUGAGGUCGGCAUCAGAGGAUCAGAGACUGCAGGAGGGGAUAUGAGAUUAGCAGGUAGGUGAGGUCAGGGAGGAGCCAGGUCAUGGGGGACUUGUUAGUCAAGAGAAAGAAUAUGAACCGAAUGUGUUGUGGAACAGGCCAGUGAGGUUCAAGAGGACAGGGGUGAUGUAGUCAUGGGAGCAGGAGUGAGUGAGAAGAUGGGCAGCUGAAUUCUGAAUGCACUGGAGUUUACUGAAGACUUUGGAUGAUACUGUUACAAUUGUGUUUUGCUUUACUAGUGUUAGAUUUGUACUUUUCCACUGAACUCAUGCAAUUUAACAAAUGUUUCCACUACUUAUAGGUUGUUGCUAUUUAACCAGAACACUAUGACGUCUAACUUGAUGAGGAGGAACCUGAUGUGCCACAAGGCUCUCUUUGUUCUGUUGGACAGGUUUGCUCAGAGCCGGCCCAAGGCAUAAGCAAACUAAGCACCUGCUUAGUGCCCCGCAGCUAAUAGAAGGCCCCAAGAGCAAUCAAAAAAUAAAAGAAAUAAAAAAAAACAUAUAUUUUUUGCAUGUAUGAGUGAUGGUUUCUGUAUGAUCAAAUACGGUAUAUCUUUGUAAAAAUAAAAUAAAAACAUUUUAGUGCUGCUGCUGAUGCCGUUUUGCUACCGUUUUGCGCCUUCUGCUGUGCAAUGUGCACUGAGCAUCCAAAGCACAGGUGGUUGUUGGGCAAAACAAUGUUGCAAAAAAGGACAUAUCCUUCAGGAGCAGAGAAAAGAAAGAGGAAGAAAGAGGAAGAGGAGAAAAACACCAUGAUAAAGCUAUAUUUGAAUGUCAUGGAAUGUUAAUCAGAGAUUUGUGAAGGUGUGUGAAUGAUCAACAAAUAAUAUUAUUGGCAGAAAUCGAGGGCCUCAAAAUCAAAUUUUGCUUAGGGCCCAAUUGAGGCUCUGGGUUUGCUACAGUAGUUACACACCUCAAGGCCGACAACACACACACAUAUAUUUCAAGGCACAUUUUCAUAAGACUGUGUGAACAGUGGUUGGCCUGUUUACGUUAGAGAUAACUGGCCAAUGAUACUUGGUUGGGUUUAAGUCUAACCUCUGUCCAGGGCAAUCCCUGCCCAAGAAGAAAAACGUGAAUUGUUCCCAAAAAUGGAGAUCCUAGCAGCUCUGUCAUUGCGAGUCCAGCGCUGUACUUUUCAUGUGACCUAAAUAAAUGUUAUAUCAAUUAAGUUUCAAAUGCAGAGGUUGAGACAAAUGGAUAAUGAUAUGCUCAGGGUUUAAGGUGGUAAAAAUAAGAUUCUUAUGGUAUGAUUAAUAUCCUGUUAAAAAGGUGAAGUUGCUAUGACAUAAAGUUUGCAGAUGUAAGGAGACAAAGACCGAGUGAUAUUGUCAGUAGUGAGGUGGAAGUUUUGGGUUGUUUUGGAGGGGGACUUCAGAUAGAUUAUAAUAAUG